CCCUUAGAUGUUCUGGGCUGCACGCGCGCUACACUGAUGCGUUCAACGAGUGUAUCACCUUGCCCGAUAGGGUUGGGUAAUCUUUUGAACACGCAUCGUGAUGGGGAUAGAUUAUUGCAAUUAUUAAUCUUCAACGAGGAAUUCCUAGUAAUGAUGGAUCAUCAGUUCAUCGUGAUUACGUCCCUGCCCUUUGUACACACCGCCCGUCGCUCCUACCGAUGAGCAAUCCGGUGAAUAAUUCGGACUGCAGCAGUGUUCAGUUCCUGAACGUUGCAGCGGAAAGUUUAGUGAACCUUAUCACUUAGAGGAAGGAGAAGUCGUAACA
Molecule: ribosomal RNA, 325 nt
Filed under: uncultured eukaryote
Lineage: Eukaryota
Description: partial 18S ribosomal RNA
Rfam family: Eukaryotic small subunit ribosomal RNA
Source: RNAcentral